CACAAAACGGACUCAUUCCGAACGGGGGAUGCUGUGCGCUCUAUGUGGCCGAUUGCAAAUCCAUAAGCGUAUAGCUUUUCCCAUUUGGCGUGUGUCGCUUGACAA
This 105-nucleotide microRNA precursor is filed under the name Anopheles sinensis. RNAcentral's name for it is "mir-965 microRNA precursor family". The stretch from base 16 to 90 matches the Rfam family "mir-965 microRNA precursor family". Lineage: Eukaryota; Metazoa; Arthropoda; Insecta; Diptera; Culicidae. The record is from RNAcentral.